RNAcentral lists this ribosomal RNA (333 nucleotides) under uncultured bacterium. RNAcentral's name for it is "bacterial SSU rRNA". It matches the Rfam family "Bacterial small subunit ribosomal RNA", at positions 30 to 352 of the family's 1533-position model. The record is from RNAcentral.
AUUGAACGCUGGCGGCAUGCCUUACACAUGCAAGUCGAACGGCAGCGGACCUUCGGGUGCCGGCGAGUGGCGAACGGGUGAGUAAAGUAUCGGAACGUACCUUUCAGUGGGGGAUAACUGUCCGAAAGGACAGCUAAUACCGCAUAUUCUGUGAGCAGGAAAGCAGGGGAUCGCAAGACCUUGCGCUGAUUGAGCGGCCGAUAUCAGAUUAGCUAGUUGGUGAGGUAAGGACGUCACCAACGGACGGACGAUCUGUAGCGGGUCGUGAGAGGAGUGAUCCGCCACACUGGAACGUAGAGACACGGUCCGACGACUCCUACCGGGAGGGCGAGC